This 662-nucleotide long non-coding RNA is filed under the name Bos indicus x Bos taurus (hybrid cattle). RNAcentral's name for it is "lncRNA (ENSBIXG00000015717.1)". Lineage: Eukaryota; Metazoa; Chordata; Mammalia; Artiodactyla; Bovidae. The record is from RNAcentral.
AAUCCUGCCCUACUUUUCUGAAGUUUUCCUCAUUCUUUUUCAGUCUAUUCACCCUUGACUCUGCUCAUCAGUAAGGAAUGACCAAAGACGUGGAGGGGAAUGAGUCCCCCCAUGGACCAGCUUUAUCAGAAGUGGAAAUAUGUGUUUAUAAGGUGCCCAAAGGGUUUUUCAGGUAAUAUGGAGAAAAUAAAUGUGAAGCACACUGCCAACUGCAAUGUCCAUGCAGAUCCCUCAACCACAUGGAUGCAGCAGAACGUAAUCAAUAAUCGUGUUGGGAUAAUAUGAGUUGUCAUCUAGACAACUGCUGAUGGAACCAGGAAGGAAUGUUUUACCUGAGCUGGACCACAGUUCCUCCUCUGAGAAUCAGGAAACGGAACUAAGAGACUGUCAGCUCAAUCUGACUUGACAACUUGAAAACAGGAGAGAAGUGAGUGGCUUUGCCAUCACAUGGACAAAGAAGUGAUGAGGCUCAGGUCUGAACCGCAGCAGACAUGCCGGGUACCACUGAAAUAAGACUAGGACACAAAUACCCCCAUACCAAUCCUGGUCCGAGGUCCAAGUAGUCCGGAGGCAUCUGUCCUCUUGGAUUUUCCCAGUAAAGUUUCCAUUCUUUGUUUCUGAUGGCUCUAACUGGUUUUUUGUUGACUUGGAUAAAAAUAAAU